RNAcentral lists this ribosomal RNA (406 nucleotides) under uncultured bacterium. RNAcentral describes it as "partial 16S ribosomal RNA". It matches the Rfam family "Bacterial small subunit ribosomal RNA", at positions 30 to 526 of the family's 1533-position model. The record is from RNAcentral.
AUUGAACGCUGGCGGCAUGCUUUACACAUGCAAGUCGGACGAGUGGCGGACGGGUGAGUAACAUAUGGGAACGUACCGAGUAAUGGGGGAUAACUAAUGGAAAGAUUAGCUAAUACCGCCUAUCAUUCGAUCGGCCGAUAUUGGAUUAGCUGGUUGGUGGGGUAAAGGCCUACCAAGGCGACGAUCAGUAGCGGGUCUGAGAGGAUGAUCUGCCACACGGGAACGGAGACACGGCCCAGACUCCUACGGGAGGCAGCAGUGGGGAAUUUUGGACAAGGGGCGCAAGCCUGAUCCAGCCAUGCCGCGUGUCUGAAGAAGGCCUUCGGGUUGUAAAGGACUUUUGGCAGGGAAGCGGUACCUGAAGAAUAAGCACCGGCUAACUACGUGCCAGCAGCCGCGGUAAUAC